GAGUUUGAUCGUGGCUCAGGAUGAACGCUGGCGGCGUGCCUAAUACAUGCAAGUCGAGCGAACAGACGAGGAGCUUGCUCCUCUGACGUUAGCGGCGGACGGGUGAGUAACACGUGGAUAACCUACCUAUAAGACUGGGAUAACUUCGGGAAACCGGAGCUAAUACCGGAUAAUAUAUUGAACCGCAUGGUUCAAUAGUGAAAGACGGUUUUGCUGUCACUUAUAGAUGGAUCCGCGCCGCAUUAGCUAGUUGGUAAAGUAACGGCUUACCAAGGCAACGAUGCGUAGCCGACCUGAGAGGGUGAUCGGCCACACUGGAACUGAGACACGGUCCAGACUCCUACGGGAGGCAGCAGUAGGGAAUCUUCCGCAAUGGGCGAAAGCCUGACGGAGCAACGCCGCGUGAGUGAUGAAGGUCUUCGGAUCGUAAAACUCUGUUAUUAGGGAAGAACAAAUGUGUAAGUAACUAUGCACGUCUUGACGGUACCUAAUCAGAAAGCCACGGCUAACUACGUGCCAG
RNAcentral lists this ribosomal RNA (520 nucleotides) under uncultured microorganism. RNAcentral's name for it is "bacterial SSU rRNA". It matches the Rfam family "Bacterial small subunit ribosomal RNA", at positions 9 to 511 of the family's 1533-position model. The record is from RNAcentral.